UGCGUAGGCGGCCUAUUAAGUCAGUGGUGAAAGGUGUCAGCUUAACUGAUGACGUGCCAUUGAAACUGAUAGGCUUGAGUACAGACGAGGUAGGCGGAAUUUAUGGUGUAGCGGUGAAAUGCAUAGAUACCAUAAAGAACACCAAUUGCGAAGGCAGCUCACUAGACUGAGACUGACGCUGAGGCACGAAAGCGUGGGGAGCGAACAGGAUUAGAUACCCUGGUAGUCC
Molecule: ribosomal RNA, 229 nt
Filed under: uncultured bacterium
Lineage: Bacteria
Description: partial 16S ribosomal RNA
Rfam family: Bacterial small subunit ribosomal RNA
Source: RNAcentral